Molecule: ribosomal RNA, 809 nt
Filed under: uncultured bacterium
Lineage: Bacteria
Description: bacterial SSU rRNA
Rfam family: Bacterial small subunit ribosomal RNA
Source: RNAcentral
AGAGUUUGAUCCUGGCUCAGGACGAACGCUGGCGGCGUGCCUAAUACAUGCAAGUCGAGCGGAGAUGAUGAGGAGCUUGCUCCUUUGAUUCUCAGCGGCGGACGGGUGAGUAACACGUAGGUAACCUGCCCCUCAGCCUGGGAUAACUGACGGAAACGUCAGCUAAGACCGGAUACGAGGUUCUCCCGCAUGGAGGAACCUGGAAAGAAGGCGCAAGCUUUCGCUGAGAGAUGGGCCUGCGGCGCAUUAGCUGGUUGGUGAGGUAACGGCUCACCAAGGCGACGAUGCGUAGCCGACCUGAGAGGGUGAACGGGCCACACUGGGACUGAGACACGGCCCAGACUCCUACGGGAGGCAGCAGUAGGGAAUCUUCCGCAAUGGGCGCAAGCCUGACGGAGCAACGCCGCGUGAGUGAGGAAGGUUUUCGGAUCGUAAAGCUCUGUUGCCAGGGAAGAACGCCGAGGUGAGUAACUGCACCUCGGGUGACGGUACCUGAGAAGAAAGCCCCGGCUAACUACGUGCCAGCAGCCGCGGUAAUACGUAGGGGGCAAGCGUUGUCCGGAAUUAUUGGGCGUAAAGCGCGCGCAGGCGGUUCGGUCAGUCUGGUGUUUAAUCCCGGGGCUCAACCCCGGGUCGCACCGGAAACUGCCGGACUGGAGUGCAGAAGAGGAAAGUGGAAUUCCACGUGUAGCGGUGAAAUGCGUAGAGAUGUGGAGGAACACCAGUGGCGAAGGCGACUUUCUGGGCUGUAACUGNNGCUGAGNNNCGAAAGCGUGGGGAGCAAACAGGAUUAGAUACCCUAGUAGUCC